UACGUAGGGUGCGAGCGUUGUCCGGAAUUAUUGGGCGUAAAGAGCUCGUAGGCGGUUUGUUGCGUCUAUCGUGAAAACCUGCAGCUUAACUGUGGGCUUGCGGUGGAUACGGGCAGACUUGAGUUCGGUAGGGGAGACUGGAAUUCCUGGUGUAGCGGUGAAAUGCGCAGAUAUCAGGAGGAGCACCGGUGGCGAAGGCGGGUCUCUGGGCCGAUACUGACGCUGAGGAGCGAAAGCGUGGGGGAGCGAACAGG
This 254-nucleotide ribosomal RNA is filed under the name uncultured bacterium. RNAcentral describes it as "partial 16S ribosomal RNA". It matches the Rfam family "Bacterial small subunit ribosomal RNA", at positions 524 to 776 of the family's 1533-position model. The record is from RNAcentral.